RNAcentral lists this ribosomal RNA (342 nucleotides) under Acalymma vittatum (striped cucumber beetle). Its description in RNAcentral is "partial 12S ribosomal RNA". Lineage: Eukaryota; Metazoa; Arthropoda; Insecta; Coleoptera; Chrysomelidae. The record is from RNAcentral.
UUAAAUGUAAUUUAUUUAUAAAAUUAUUAUGAGUUAUGGUCUUUAAAAUUAAAAAAUUUGGCGGUAUUUUAGUCUUUUUAGAGGAACCUGUUCUAUAAAUGAUAAUCCACGAUUUUAUGUACUUUUAUUAUUAAUUUGUAUAUCGUCGUUAUAAAAUAUUUUUUUAGGAUAUUAUUUAAAAUUUUUUUUAAAAAAUUAAUCAGAUCAAGGUGCAGUUUAUAUAAAAGUAGAAAUGGGUUACAAUAAAUUUAUUUUUGGAAUUUUAAUUUUAUAUUAAAAUGAAAAUGGAUUUAAAUGUAAUAUUAAUUUAUUAAUUAAUAUGAUUUUAGCUCUAAAAUAUGU